This 564-nucleotide ribosomal RNA is filed under the name uncultured bacterium. RNAcentral's name for it is "partial 16S ribosomal RNA". It matches the Rfam family "Bacterial small subunit ribosomal RNA", at positions 355 to 914 of the family's 1533-position model. The record is from RNAcentral.
CUAAGAAUAUUCCGCAAUGGACGGAAGUCUGACGGAGCGACGCCGCGUGGAUGACGAAGGCCGAAAGGUUGUAAAGUUCUUUUGCUGGGGAAGAAUAACCGCAGGAGGGAAUGCCUGUGGGAUGACAAGAACCGGCGAAUAAGCCCCGGCCAACUACGUGCCAGCAGCCGCGGUAACACGUAGGGGGCGAGCGUUGUUCGGAAUUACUGGGCGUAAAGGGCAUGUAGGCGGCUUGGAAAGCCUGGCGUGAAAGUCUGCAGCUUAACUGCAGGGGUGCGCUGGGAACUGCUGAGCUUGAGUGACGGAGAGGGAGCUGGAAUUCCUGGUGUAGGGGUGAAAUCUGUAGAUAUCAGGAAGAACACCGAUGGCGAAGGCAAGCUCCUGGCCGAUGACUGACGCUGAGGUGCGAAAGUGUGGGGAUCAAACAGGAUUAGAUACCCUGGUAGUCCACACAGUCAACGAUGUGCACUAGGUGCUGGGGCGGUAGCUUCGGUGCCGGAGCGAACGUGGUAAGUGCACCGCCUGGGGAGUAUGCUCGCAAGGGUGAGACUCAAAGGAAUUGAC